GACGAACGCUGGCGGCGUGCCUAAUACAUGCAAGUUGAGCGCUGAAGGUUGGUACUUGUACCGACUGGAUGAGCAGCGAACGGGUGAGUAACGCGUGGGGAAUCUGCCUUUGAGCGGGGGACAACAUUUGGAAACGAAUGCUAAUACCGCAUAAAAACUUUAAACACAAGUUUUAAGUUUGAAAGAUGCAAUUGCAUCACUCAAAGAUGAUCCCGCGUUGUAUUAGCUAGUUGGUGAGGUAAAGGCUCACCAAGGCGAUGAUACAUAGCCGUCCUGAGAGGGUGAUCGGCCCCAUUGGGACUGGGACACGGCCCAAACUCCUACGGGAGGCAGCAGUAGGGAAUCUUCGGCAAUGGACGAAAGUCUGACCGAGCAACGCCGCGUGAGUGAAGAAGGUUUUCGGAUCGUAAAACUCUGUUGGUAGAGAAGAACGUUGGUGAGAGUGGAAAGCUCAUCAAGUGACGGUAACUACCCAGAAAGGGACGGCUAACUACGUG
This 497-nucleotide ribosomal RNA is filed under the name uncultured bacterium. RNAcentral describes it as "partial 16S ribosomal RNA". It matches the Rfam family "Bacterial small subunit ribosomal RNA", at positions 28 to 507 of the family's 1533-position model. The record is from RNAcentral.